UUUUUUCAUUUCUGGUCUCAAAUCAGGUAGGAUCACCCGCUGAACUUAAGCAUAUCAUUAAGCGGAGGAAAAGAAACUAACAAGGAUUCCCCUAGUAACGGCGAGUGAAGAGGGAAGAGCUCAAAUUUGAAAGCUGGUACCUUCGGUAUCCGCGUUGUAACCUCGAGACACGUUUUCCGUGCGGCGCUAUGGACAAGUUCCUUGGAACAGGACAUCGUAGAGGGUGAAAAUCCCGUACUUGCCAUGGAUGUACCGUGCUUUGCGAUACGUGCUCUAAGAGUCGAGUUGUUUGGGAUUGCAGCUCAAAAUGGGUGGUAGACUCCAUCUAAAGCUAAAUAUCGGGGAGAGACCGAUAGCGAACAAGUACCGUGAGGGAAAGAUGAAAAGCACUUUGGAAAGAGAGUUAAAAGUACGUGAAAUUGUCGAAAGGGAAGCGCUUGAAGUCAGCCAUGCCGCUCAGGACUCAGCCUGGCUUUUGCUUGGUGUAUUUCCUGGGUAGCAAGUCAGCAUUGGUUUGGAUCGUCGGAGAAGCAUAGUCGGAAUGUGGCGCCCUCGGGCGUGUUAUAGCCUUCUAUUGGAUACGACGAUCUAGACCAAGGAACGCAGCGCGCCUUAUGGCGGGUCUUCGGACACCUUCGCGCUUAGGAUGCUGGCGUAAUGGCUUUAAGUGGCCCGUCUUGAAACACGGACCAAGGAGUCUAACAUAUGUGC
Molecule: ribosomal RNA, 711 nt
Filed under: Malassezia furfur
Lineage: Eukaryota; Fungi; Basidiomycota; Malasseziomycetes; Malasseziales; Malasseziaceae
Description: LSU rRNA
Rfam family: Eukaryotic large subunit ribosomal RNA
Source: RNAcentral